UGUCACUCUUUUCUUUCAAUUUUUCUCUGCAUAUUUCGACGGUCACUCCCACCAUUUACUCCAUAGCAACUUUCUUCUCCAAAUUUCAGGUUUGAUGGCAAAGAGACGAAGUAAUCACUAAACCAAAACAUUGUCGAGAAUCAAAGUGGACAGCGGCCGACUUCGAUGAUGACUUUGAUGAAGACAUUCCACUUUCAUUUAUACCCCAAUUUAGGGAGGAAAUGACUGCGGAUAGGGAGGCUGAGCGUGCUGCCGCGCCAAAGCGUUUACAUUGUUUAUAAUAUUCAUGUUUACAUUGUUUAUAACUAUUGUACAUUAAUGAUAGUUUUGUGUGGAUUGGGUAAUUAUACAUUACUUACUGUAUGAAUAAUACAUUAAUUAUAUAAAAAUGCAUACAUUAAUAGUUAAGUA
Molecule: long non-coding RNA, 411 nt
Organism: Salvia splendens (bonfire salvia)
Lineage: Eukaryota; Viridiplantae; Streptophyta; Magnoliopsida; Lamiales; Lamiaceae
Exons: 2
Source: RefSeq, a predicted model, not a curated record